UACGGAGGGUGCAAGCGUUAAUCGGAAUUACUGGGCGUAAAGAGCUCGUAGGUUGUUUAGAAAGUCGGAUGUGAAAUCCCCGGGCUUAACCUGGGAACUGCAUUCGAAACUUCUAAGCUAGAGUAUGGUAGAGGGAAGUGGAAUUUCCGGUGUAGCGGUGAAAUGCGUAGAGAUCGGAAGGAACACUAGUGGCGAAGGCGACUUCCUGGACCAAUACUGACACUGAGGAGCGAAAGCGUGGGGAGCAAACAGG
This 253-nucleotide ribosomal RNA is filed under the name uncultured bacterium. RNAcentral describes it as "partial 16S ribosomal RNA". It matches the Rfam family "Bacterial small subunit ribosomal RNA", at positions 524 to 776 of the family's 1533-position model. The record is from RNAcentral.